CCAAUGGCCACCCGCCGAGUCUUACUCCACCAUUCGUGGGGGAGGAUGCCUAAGGCAGUGCUGGUGACUGGGGUGAAGUCGUAACAAGGUAGCCGUACCGGAAGGUGUGGCUGGAUCACCUCCUUUAAAGGAGACCUACCCAACUUUGAUAUCGAGGACACAGAGUUAAUAGAUAUAAAGAUGGUCAUUCCUAGGUCGGUCGAAAUUGGUAAAUAGCUUUCAAAGUAUUACUGGUUCAGUAAAUGUAGAGUUUGUUAAAAAACUGGAAAAAUUCAGCAAUAUGGCGAUUUGCCAGACUGCUGGGUAGUAUCUCAGCCAGAACCUUGAAAACUGCAUAGGAAUGCGAAGCAGGCAGACACAGACAUUGGAUGUGUAUGCAAAAGAAAUAGUGGUCAAGCUAAUAAGAGCUGACGGUGGAUACCUAGGCACACAGAGAUUGAACGAUUUGCACCAGAGGAUUACCCGAAAGGGUGGAUCGGCUGGGAACGAGUCAAGCGAACGAAGGUAUGUGGGGGAUACCUAGGCACACAGAGAAUC
This 537-nucleotide small RNA is filed under the name Nostoc sp. H.Y2008-1C. Its description in RNAcentral is "bacterial LSU rRNA". The stretch from base 1 to 126 matches the Rfam family "Bacterial small subunit ribosomal RNA", at positions 1404 to 1533 of the family's 1533-position model. The record is from RNAcentral. Lineage: Bacteria; Bacillati; Cyanobacteriota; Cyanophyceae; Nostocales; Nostocaceae.